Molecule: RNase P RNA, 451 nt
Filed under: Micavibrio aeruginosavorus
Lineage: Bacteria; Pseudomonadati; Bdellovibrionota; Bdellovibrionia; Bdellovibrionales; Pseudobdellovibrionaceae
Description: RNase P RNA component class A
Rfam family: Bacterial RNase P class A
About the family: Ribonuclease P (RNase P) is a ubiquitous endoribonuclease, found in archaea, bacteria and eukarya as well as chloroplasts and mitochondria. Its best characterised activity is the generation of mature 5'-ends of tRNAs by cleaving the 5'-leader elements of precursor-tRNAs.
Source: RNAcentral
CCAGUCGGUCGGACGACCGCGGAUGAUGCAAAUCAGACGAGGAAAGUCCGGACUUCACGGAAACACGGUGCCGGGUAACGCCCGGGCGGCGAGCCUUUUUGAAAGGCGAUCCGACAGAUAGUGCAACAGAAAGAUACCGCCCUCCAAUAAUCGAGCCUCACGGCGAGACUGGAAGGUAAGGGUGAAAUGGUGCGGUAAGAGCGCACCGCUCGUUCAGAAAUGAACAGGCACGGCAAACCUCACCGGAAGCAAGACCAAAUAGGCCUGCGUUCGUAUGUUUCCAACAUUCUUUUGAGAGUUUGGCGGGCUUGCCCGCCGAAGCUCCGAAGGAGCGUAGGCGGGUUGGUUGCUCGAGGGAAGGGGUAACUCUUCUCCUAGAUGAAUGGUCGUCAUCCGAUGAGAUCUCAAGAUUUCUAGGGUACAGAAUCCGGCUUACAGACCGACUGGCAAA